GUGGAUUAUGACGUCAUUUGAUUGAUGACGAAACCAUUCAUAUUUCCCUUACAACCAAACAAAGGAGAGGCAGUGUAAAUGAAUUAAACAGAAUGGAUUACAGCAUCAUACUGGAUUUUGGAGACGAGCCAGUCAGGACCGUGGAUGAAAAACUGGACAUCCUUAGAUUUGAUUAUAGCUGGGCAGAGGCUGUUGAGGCGGCAGAGGAGGAAGAGGAGAG
This is a long non-coding RNA of Magallana angulata, 220 nucleotides long. RefSeq lists it as uncharacterized. The record is from RefSeq and is a predicted model, not a curated record. The transcript is spliced from 3 exons. Lineage: Eukaryota; Metazoa; Mollusca; Bivalvia; Ostreida; Ostreidae.